This is a long non-coding RNA of Zalophus californianus (California sea lion), 433 nucleotides long. RefSeq lists it as uncharacterized. The record is from RefSeq and is a predicted model, not a curated record. Lineage: Eukaryota; Metazoa; Chordata; Mammalia; Carnivora; Otariidae. The transcript has 3 exons.
UUCAGGUUGCAAGAGACUGACAACAAGAAUGGUGGAGCAACAUGCGAUGUCCGUCAUCCCACCUAAAAGGAAAUACUACAUCACUGACAGAAAGUUGGCCCACAGUUCAGCCAUCAAAGACUGAACUACGCAUAUGAGGAUGAGGGAUUGUGGGUCCAGGUUGUCCUGCCUGGCCAAGAAUGGAAGUGUACAAGUUGAAACACACAUCUUAAUGUGAACCAGACUUGGUGGGGGAUUCACCACUAUAUCCUGCCAGCUCUUAACCUACCUCCAGUUAAUCAAGACACAGCAGUUCACUAGCAGUGUGGAAGCACAGAUACUUGCUCUCUGUGCCCAGGCCCCACAUUUCAUCCAAGAAGAUGCCUUCCCCCAGUAGCUGUGCUAUUGACAUGAAUUACUAUUGGCAGGUUCUUGUAUAUCAACCAAAUGGAUG